UGGGCUUUACUGCUAGCAUCCAAAAUGUC
Molecule: non-coding RNA, 29 nt
Filed under: Mus musculus (house mouse)
Lineage: Eukaryota; Metazoa; Chordata; Mammalia; Rodentia; Muridae
Source: RNAcentral